AUGAUCCUGUGGCUGAAUUUGGUUUCCUUCCUAGCAGUCCUCAGAGGUGUCCAGUCAGAGGUCCAGUUGGUGGAGUCUGGAGGAGAUGUGAGAAGGCCUGGAAAGUCCCUCCGUCUCUCCUGCCAAGUCUCUGGCUUCACUUUCAGCAGCUAUGGCAUGCACUGGGUGAGACAGGCUCCAGGGGAAGGACUGGAAUGGGUUGCAGUUAUUUGGUAUGAUGCCAGUAAGCAGUUCUAUGCAGAGUCUGUGAAGGAAUGCUUCACCACCUCCAGGGACAACUCCAAAAGCCAGUUCUAUCUGCAAAUGAACAACGUGAAGCCAGAGGACACGGCAGUCUAUUACUGUGCGAGAGACACAGUGGGAGGAACUUUGUCGGGGAAAGUGGAAGACUGGUCUGAGCCAACC
Molecule: non-coding RNA, 405 nt
Organism: Candoia aspera
Lineage: Eukaryota; Metazoa; Chordata; Lepidosauria; Squamata; Candoiidae
Source: the annotation of a RefSeq genome assembly